This is a long non-coding RNA of Dromaius novaehollandiae (emu), 620 nucleotides long. RefSeq lists it as uncharacterized. The transcript has 3 exons. Lineage: Eukaryota; Metazoa; Chordata; Aves; Casuariiformes; Dromaiidae. The record is from RefSeq and is a predicted model, not a curated record.
AUUAUAUUUAACUCUAAGUCUGAAUAUUUCCACAGUAACAUAAGCGAAAUCAAAGGGACGCGUGCCUGCUGGACAGUUCGCCUGGUGAUUACACUGCUAUAAUAACACUGGUGUAACUGGUAAAACUUUCUCCCAGGGACAAAGCCAAAAACUUACCAAAAGAAAAAAACUGAGCAUGAGGAGCUGGGAGGACCUAACUGCUGCUGUUCGGCGCCUCAAUCUGAAGCACAAACAAGCAACAGACUGUAAGGGAAGGAGAGGAGCAGUACUGCCACCAAAAGAAGCCAUUAUCGGCGACCCUGGUCUCUGACAAUGUAGGAAACUGGACCUCGGCCUUUCAGCCCUCGCUGCAGUAUUCCAGCUCAUUUACAAAAAUUCUAAAAUCAAAUUUGAAAAUGUAAUACAGGUAUGACUAAAUAAAUCUAUCGAAAUAGCUUUUUUAGCAGUUGAUGGGUCUCUUUGCUGACUCCUUUGGCUCAAAUUCAUGUUUUACCUAUCGGAUUAAGACUUUGCAAAUUAAAUGUCAGCAUUUUCCCUUAUAAUGAAUCCAACUUUACCUGAGUCAAUAAUAAAAGUUGACAGCUGAUUAACAUCCUUCCCAUUUUCAUUUUUCCUUCUUG